AUUUAUUUAAAAUUAAUUUUCACACUUUCAUGUCUUUUGAUGGCUAUGUCCAACGCUUCUUCCCUCAACUUCCAAAUUCCUCAUCCUUUUCUCGCCUCCCCUCAAUUUCCCCCCAAAUUCUCGCGCAUUUUUCCACCGCUACCACCGAAACGUUUCCGACAAAUAACCGCCUUCAAAGAAUGGCGCGAAUACGAGGACGCCGUGAAGCGGAAGGACCUCGCCGGAGCUCUCAGUUUCCUGAAAUCCCUAGAAACCGACCAACGCCCAACUGCUGAGCCUUUCGGUGAAGAAGCUUCUCCGGUGGCCGAGUUGACUCGGUCUCGUUUCCGCGAGUUGGAAAUGUUCGGGCCGCAGAGGGAUUGGGAGAUUCUGGAUACCUGCAUGAAUGCUGAUAAUAUGAAACUUGUUGGGAAUGCUUAUAAGUUUCUUAAGGAUAGGGGUUUCUUGCCUAGCUUUGGUAAAUGCAGGAAUAUUGUUUUGGAGGGUCCAAGGAAUGUAACGCCAAAUGUCUUGAGCUCGUCAACUGGUUUGGAAGUGACUAAACUUGCUCCAAAGAAGUGGGGCCUCACGAAUGGUUCAGGCACUGUUUUGGUUGCUUUUUUUGGUGGCGUGUCCUAUCUUAUUUCGCAAGGAAUAGAUCUCAGGCCCAACCUUACAGUGGUAUUAGGUCUAGCCAUUGCAGAUUCUAUAUUCCUGGGAGGUACAUGUUUAGCUCAAAUAUCAAGUUACUGGCCGCCAUAUAGGCGCCGGAUCCUCGUUCAUGAAGCAGGACAUCUCCUAAUAGCUUACCUGAUGGGUUGCCCAAUUCGGGGGGUGAUUUUAGAUCCAAUAGUUGCAGUGCAAAUGGGUAUUCAAGGACAGGCAGGGACUCAGUUUUGGGAUGAGAAAGUUGCCGGCGACCUUGCCGAAGGCCGACUUGAUGGUUCAGCUUUUGACAGGUACUGUAUGGUACUUUUUGCUGGAAUUGCAGCUGAAGCUCUUAUUUAUGGUGAGGCAGAGGGUGGAGAAAAUGAUGAAAAUCUAUUUAGAAGCAUCUGUCUUCUUCUUGAGCCUCCAUUGUCUGUUGCAGAGAUGUCUAAUCAAGCAAGAUGGUCAGUUUUGCAAUCUUACAAUUUACUCAAGUGGCAUAAAUCUGCACACCGAGCUGCCGUUAAAGCAAUGGAAAGCGGUAGUAGUCUCAGUGGUGUAAUUAGGAGGAUCGAGGAGACACUGUAUCGUGAAAAAUGAACCUUAGAAUUUUACAUAAAAUAAAUUUUUGUCUUGUAAGUUGCAUACAGGGUUAUCGCGGUAGAUUUGAUGUGGAGCUGGUUUUACCGGUCUUUAUGUAACCAUUGCAUAUUUGCAGAUGCACCAUGUAUUGGAUUUGGACCAUGCCUACCAUGACAGAAUCAAUCAUAUGAAUAAUUUAUGUUUCAGAAGGUGUCAGUGUUGAAGUUGGUUCCGAAUUUACUCAACACGAUCAGAUAUGUACUAUAAUACUAGCGGAAAUGGUCGUUGUGAGAAUGACAGACGAGUUUAGAGUGGUUCUUAGCCGUGCAUAGGAUUUCUGCUAGAAGUUAUAGAAAAUGGUUUGUAAAUAUCUAUUGUCAUUCAUGGACAAUCGUUCUUUUUUACCAUGUUCCAUAAUGUAUUUAUUAUGGUCUUCUACUAGUAACAAUGACUGAGUUAACCCCAA
Molecule: RNA transcript, 1675 nt
Organism: Vicia villosa (hairy vetch)
Lineage: Eukaryota; Viridiplantae; Streptophyta; Magnoliopsida; Fabales; Fabaceae
Exons: 8
Source: RefSeq, a predicted model, not a curated record